GCCGGAGUGGCGAAAUCGGUAGACGCAGCAGACUCAAAAUCUGCCGUUGGCAACAACGUGCCGGUUCGAUUCCGGCCUCCGGCACCA
Molecule: transfer RNA, 87 nt
Filed under: Ramlibacter sp.
Lineage: Bacteria; Pseudomonadati; Pseudomonadota; Betaproteobacteria; Burkholderiales; Comamonadaceae
Also listed under: 1 other name
Description: tRNA-Leu
Rfam family: tRNA
About the family: Transfer RNA (tRNA) molecules are approximately 80 nucleotides in length. Their secondary structure includes four short double-helical elements and three loops (D, anti-codon, and T loops). Further hydrogen bonds mediate the characteristic L-shaped molecular structure. tRNAs have two regions of fundamental functional importance: the anti-codon, which is responsible for specific mRNA codon recognition, and the 3' end, to which the tRNAs corresponding amino acid is attached (by aminoacyl-tRNA synthetases). tRNAs cope with the degeneracy of the genetic code in two manners: having more than one tRNA (with a specific anti-codon) for a particular amino acid; and 'wobble' base-pairing, i.e. permitting non-standard base-pairing at the 3rd anti-codon position.
Source: RNAcentral